RNAcentral lists this ribosomal RNA (391 nucleotides) under Zosterops japonicus (Japanese white-eye). RNAcentral describes it as "partial 12S ribosomal RNA". It matches the Rfam family "Bacterial small subunit ribosomal RNA", at positions 543 to 1076 of the family's 1533-position model. The record is from RNAcentral. Lineage: Eukaryota; Metazoa; Chordata; Aves; Passeriformes; Zosteropidae.
AUCAACAUUAUAACGGCGUNAAGCNUGGUCACAUGUUAUCCAAGUAGCUAAGAUNNNNAAGCAACUNAUCCGUCAUAAGCCCAAGAUGCGUCAUAAGGCCUCUAUUCNAAGAAGAUCUUAGACCAACGAUCAAUUAAAGCCACGAAAGCCAGGACCCAAACUGGGAUUAGAUACCCCACUAUGCCUGGCCCUAAAUCUUGAUGCUNGAUCUAACCGGAGCAUCCGCCCGAGAACUACGAGCACAAACGCUUNAAACUCUAAGGACUUGGCGGUGCUCNAAAUCCACCUAGAGGAGCCUGUUCUGUAAUCGAUGAUCCACGAUAUACCUGACCAUUCNUUGCCCAAAACAGCCUAUAUACCGCCGUCUCCAGCCCACCCCGCAUGAAGGUUC